GAGGUUAAAUAAGAAAAAGUAAAUUUGUUUUUUAUCUCAACAGGAGCACCCCUAAGCUAUGUUCGGCCUUUGUACUGAGAGAGGAAGUUGCAUCUCUGGGUGGACACAGCCUGUGGCUCCUGUUGUACAAAGGGCCAGGCCCAGGAGAAGAAUGGAUUGGAGAAGGGACACACCAUGUUUCAUAGCUGUGACAUUUGCCAUCGGGCCUCAGGACACCCAAUGGCAGAGGUCCUGGCAGGUGGUCCUGAGGAUCCUGCCAGGAAGAGAUGACUACCCCUUGGCAACUCUUGCUUUAUUACUGGCCUUGGGACAUCGUCAGAAUGGAGAUAUUUUGACAUCCCACUGUAUGUGAACAUAUCGAGCAAUGAAUCAGCAACAUUUACGUCAUCAGCUGGGACAUGACUUCCAAAAGAUCAGAGCCCUUUGCGUUGGCAAGUGCAGCCUAUCUCAUUGAUCUGUGAUAAUUCAUGGGAAAACACACACCUCACUUCACAUCAUCUGUCCUGUGUUUUCCUGUCUCAAUCUUGGAACUCUAAACUAAAAGCUGCCCAGUUACGAUGACCGUGAUGGCCCACAACUAAAUUACAGGGCAUAAGGUUAUCUUAAAGGACAAUGUUUUACGAAGGCCAUGCCAUG
Molecule: long non-coding RNA, 636 nt
Filed under: Macaca nemestrina (pig-tailed macaque)
Lineage: Eukaryota; Metazoa; Chordata; Mammalia; Primates; Cercopithecidae
Description: lncRNA (ENSMNEG00000045850.1)
Source: RNAcentral